UGGGGAAUAUUGGACAAUGGGGGGAACCCUGAUCCAGCCAUGCCGCGUGUGUGAAGAAGGCCUUUUGGUUGUAAAGCACUUUAAGCGAGGAGGAGGCUACCGAGAUUAAUACUCUUGGAUAGUGGACGUUACUCGCAGAAUAAGCACCGGCUAACUCUGUGCCAGCAGCCGCGGUAAUACAGAGGGUGCAAGCGUUAAUCGGAUUUACUGGGCGUAAAGCGCGCGUAGGUGGCCAAUUAAGUCAAAUGUGAAAUCCCCGAGCUUAACUUGGGAAUUGCAUUCGAUACUGGUUGGCUAGAGUAUGGGAGAGGAUGGUAGAAUUCCAGGUGUAGCAGUGAAAUGCGUAGAGAUCUGGAGGAAUACCGAUGGCGAAGGCAGCCAUCUGGCCUAAUACUGACACUGAGGUGCGAAAGCAUGGGGAGCAAACAGG
This 430-nucleotide ribosomal RNA is filed under the name uncultured bacterium. Its description in RNAcentral is "bacterial SSU rRNA". It matches the Rfam family "Bacterial small subunit ribosomal RNA", at positions 355 to 776 of the family's 1533-position model. The record is from RNAcentral.